ACGGCUCAGUAACACGUGGACAACCUACCCUCCGGACGGGUAUAAACCNGGAAACUGGGUAUAAUCCCCGAUAGAUCUCGGUCGCUGGAAAGCCCCGAGAUCGAAAGCUCCGGCGCCAGAGGAUGGGUCUGCGGCCUAUCAGGUAGUAGUGGGUGUAGCGUACCUACUAGCCUACGACGGGUACGGGUUGUGAGAGCAAGAGCCCGGAGAUGGAUUCUGAGACACGAAUCCAGGCCCUACGGGGUGCAGCAGGCGCGAAAACUUUACAAUGCCGGCAACGGCGAUAAGGGGACCUCGAGUGCCAGGUUACAAAUCUGGCUGUCGUGAUGCCUAAAAAGCAUUGCAUAGCAAGGGCCGGGCAAGACCGGUGCCAGCCGCCGCGGUAACACCGGCGGCUCGAGUGGUAACCGUUAUUAUUGGGUCUAAAGGGUCUGUAGCCGGCCGGAUAAGUCUCUUGAGAAAUCCAGCAGCUCAACUGUUGGGCUUUCAGGAGAUACUGUUCGGCUCGAGGCCGGGAGAGGUGAGAGGUACUUCAGGGGUAGGGGUGAAAUCUUGUAAUCCUUGAAGGACCACCAGUGGCGAAGGCGUCUCACCAGAACGGACCUGACGGCAAGGGACGAAAGCUAGGGGCACGAACCGGAUUAGAUACCCGGGUAGUCCUAGCCGUAAACGAUACUCGCUAGGUGUCGGCCACGGUGCGACCGUUGUCGGUGCCGUAGGGAAGCCGUGAAGCGAGCCACCUGGGAAGUACGGCCGCAAGGCUGAAACUUAAAGGAAUUGGCGGGGGAGCA
This 791-nucleotide ribosomal RNA is filed under the name uncultured Methanosaeta sp. Its description in RNAcentral is "bacterial SSU rRNA". It matches the Rfam family "Archaeal small subunit ribosomal RNA", at positions 85 to 878 of the family's 1478-position model. Lineage: Archaea; Methanobacteriati; Methanobacteriota; Methanomicrobia; Methanotrichales; Methanotrichaceae. The record is from RNAcentral.